CAAUAGCGUAUAUUAAAGUUGUUGCAGUUAAAAAGCUCGUAGUUGGAUUUCUGGUUGAAGCGACCGGUCGGGCGUUGAUUCGUCUGCACUGGAGUCGGUUUUGGCCAUCCUCUAGGAAAGUGCGUCUGGUAUUAAGUUAUCGGGCGUAUGAUCCUGGUCUUUUACUGUGAAAAAAUUAGAGUGUUUAAAGCAGGCCUUCGCCUUGAAUACAUUAGCAUGGAAUAAUAAGAUAGGACUUUGGUCUAUUUUGUUGGUUUGCAGACCGAAGUAAUGAUUAAUAGGGAUAGUUGGGGGUAUUUAUAUUCCGAUGUCAGAGGUGAAAUUCUUAGAUUUUCGGAAGAUAAACUUAUGCAAAAGCAUUUACCAAGGAUGUUUUCAUUAA
RNAcentral lists this ribosomal RNA (382 nucleotides) under uncultured eukaryote. RNAcentral describes it as "partial 18S ribosomal RNA". It matches the Rfam family "Eukaryotic small subunit ribosomal RNA", at positions 592 to 976 of the family's 1831-position model. The record is from RNAcentral.